UGGUGUAAAUUAUAUUUACCAGGGUAUUGUUAGUUAGGAUCUUUAAACCCAGAGAAUUUGGCGGUAUCUUAGUCCGUUCAGAGGAGCCUGCCCCAUAAUUGAUAAUACACGAUUUUCUUUACUUAAUCUAUUUGUUUGUAUAUCUCCGUUAUCAGAGGAUUUUUUUAGAUUUAUAAUUCUCUUAAAUUAUAAUUAUAAUUUAUUUCAGGUCAAGGUGCAGCUUAUGUUUAAGAGGAGGUGGGUUACAAUAUAUUUUUGUUUAUAACGGAUUUAUUUGUUAAUUAAAUUAAUGAAGGUGGAUUUGAUAGUAAUUUAAUUAUUUUAAGUUAAUUGAUAUUGGCUCUGAGGU
Molecule: ribosomal RNA, 349 nt
Filed under: Copiocera austera
Lineage: Eukaryota; Metazoa; Arthropoda; Insecta; Orthoptera; Acrididae
Description: partial 12S ribosomal RNA
Source: RNAcentral